CUAGGUAACACAAUCUACUCUAUACGCAGUUUUAUGUUUUGCGGAUUUUUGCGCACCAAUCUUCGCACGACGACGAACAUCUUUUUGGGAAUCGGGGAUUUUGUUUUUCUUGUUCUUCCGCUGCGCAUGUGAUGUCGCCCCCAUGAUUUCCCAACAGUGGUAUCAGAGCCAGGUUGUUCGUGCGAAUGAUUGGUUUUGAACUGCGUGUGUUGUGUUUAGGAAGAAUAUUGACGUCAAAAUCGUUGACGCAAAAGCGAGAAAGGGCAGCAAUAGUUGCUGCCCUC
This 284-nucleotide long non-coding RNA is filed under the name Musa acuminata (dwarf banana). RNAcentral describes it as "long non-coding RNA (MACU_LNC007914)". Lineage: Eukaryota; Viridiplantae; Streptophyta; Magnoliopsida; Zingiberales; Musaceae. The record is from RNAcentral.